CCUACGGGAGGCAGCAGUGGGGAAUAUUGCACAAUGGGGGAAACCCUGAUGCAGCGACGCCGCGUGAGUGAAGAAGUAUUUCGGUAUGUAAAGCUCCAUCAGCAGGGAAGAAAAUGACGGUACCUGACUAAGAAGCCCCGGCUAACUACGUGCCAGCAGCCGCGGUAAUACGUAGGGGGCAAGCGUUAUCCGGAUUUACUGGGUGUAAAGGGGGCGUAGACGGCGGAACAAGUCAGAAGUGAAAACCCGGGGCUCAACCCUGGGAGUGCUUUUGAAACUGUUUGGCUGGAGUGCAGGAGAGGUAAGCGGAAGUCCUAGUGUAGCGGUGAAAUGCGUAGAUAUUAGGAGGAACACCAGUGGCGAAGGCGGCUUACUGGACUGUAACUGACGUUGAGGCUCGAAAGCGUGGGGAGCAAACAGGAUUAGAUACCCCGUAGUC
RNAcentral lists this ribosomal RNA (439 nucleotides) under uncultured bacterium. RNAcentral's name for it is "partial 16S ribosomal RNA". It matches the Rfam family "Bacterial small subunit ribosomal RNA", at positions 338 to 795 of the family's 1533-position model. The record is from RNAcentral.